Long non-coding RNA from Macaca fascicularis (crab-eating macaque), 1573 nucleotides. NCBI's taxonomy places the organism in Eukaryota, Metazoa, Chordata, Mammalia, Primates, Cercopithecidae. The record is from Ensembl.
UUUUUUUUUUUUUUUUUUGAGAUGGAGUUUUGCUGUUGUUGCCCAGGCUGGAGUGCAAUGGCACCAUCUCGGUUCACUGAGACCUCCGCCUCCUGAGUUCAAGUGAUUCUCCUGCCUCAGCCUCCUGAGUAGCUGGGAUUUUUGUAUUUUUAGUAGAGACGGGGUUUCACCAUGUUGGUCAGGCUGGUCUUGAACUCCUGACCUCAGGUGAUCUGCCCACUUUGGCCUCCCAAAGUGCUGGGAUUACAGGUGUGAGCCACCGCACCCAGCUAAUUUUGUAUUUUAUGUAGACACGGAGUUUCACCACGUUGCCCAGGCUGAUCUUAGACUCCUGGGCUCAAGCCAUCUGCCCACCUCAGCCUUCCAAAGUGCUGGAUUAUAUGUCUGAGCCACAGUGCCCAGCCCAAAAGCCCCAUUUCUGUACCCUGGCAUUGGAGCCUUCUUGUUUAGCCUGUAACCUAUGUUUUCCACUUGGCUUAUCUGAUGGUUAAUUAUAUGUAUCAACCUGUCUGGGCUAAGAGAUGCCCAGAUAGCUGGUAAAACAUUAUUUCUGGGUCUGACUGGGACAGUGUUUGCAGAAGAGAUAAGCAUUUAAAUCAGUAGACAGAAAAGUUCUGCCUUCACCCAUGUGAGCAGGCAUCAUCCAAUCCACUGUGGGUCCAGACAGAACAAAAAGGCAGGGUGAAGGCACAUCUGCACCCUCUUCUGAAGCGGGGCCAUCCAUCUUCUCCUGCCCUUGGACAUCAGAGCUCCAGGUACUCAGGUCUUCAGACUCAGGCUGAAGGACGCCACCAACUUCCCAGGUUCCCCAGCUUGCAGACGGCAUACGGUGGGACUUCUUGGCCUUUAGAAUCACGUGAGCUAAUUCCUGCAAUAAAUCCCCUCUUCCAUAUCUCUCAUAUAUGCCUCUGUAUAUCCUGUUGGUUCUGUUUCUCUGGAGAACUCUGGAGAACUAAUUCAAUUUCCAAUCCUCCAGGACCCUGGGGGUUAAUCUGAGUUCUUUCCCUUCACAUUUCACCUCUCAUCAGUGGGCAGCCCCUGUUGGUUUGGUGGAACAAGUGAAGUCAUUGAGUACUAACUGAGUACUUCAGUACUAACCGAACUGAGUACUUACUGUGUGGUAGGCACCACAUGAGGAGCUGGCAUACAGAAUUAAAUAAACCAGGACCUCUGCUCUGGAUGCACUGACAACUAGUGAGGGAGAAAAACAGAAAAACAACUCAUUUGCAUACAUUUCGUUCUAAACGCCGUGAUGCACGGAGGGAAUGUACUUGCACCAGCCUAGGGACUCAGUGGGGGUUUCAGGAGAGGCCAAGUUGGGACUUUUUGAGCAAGAGUGAUCCAGAGGACAUUAAGGAGAUCCAGGCAGUAGAAAUGGUUGGCCUUGAAGAGCUUUUGCAGGGAAAACAGAAAUGGGCAUAGCCACACUCUCCUUGUCCCCAACACCUUUUUUGAAGGGAGCAAGAGGAAGAAGAAUCUGAGAAGAAAGAAAAAAAAUAUAGUCAGAGAAGUAGAAGAACCAGUAGGAAAUGCAGUCACAAAGUCAAAAGAAGAGAGAUUAUCCUGAGAGAAC